UGGGGGCGCAACGCCCUCGACCUAUUCU
Molecule: small nuclear RNA, 28 nt
Filed under: Arabidopsis thaliana (thale cress)
Lineage: Eukaryota; Viridiplantae; Streptophyta; Magnoliopsida; Brassicales; Brassicaceae
Description: snRNA_15598
Source: RNAcentral